This 512-nucleotide ribosomal RNA is filed under the name uncultured bacterium. RNAcentral's name for it is "bacterial SSU rRNA". It matches the Rfam family "Bacterial small subunit ribosomal RNA", at positions 8 to 521 of the family's 1533-position model. The record is from RNAcentral.
AGAGUUUGAUCCUGGCUCAGGAUGAACGCUGGCGGCGUGCCUAACACAUGCAAGUCGAACGAAGUUACACAGAGGAAGUUUUCGGAUGGAAUCAGUAUAACUUAGUGGCGGACGGGUGAGUAACGCGUGGGAAACCUGCCCUGUACCGGGGGAUAACACUUAGAAAUAGGUGCUAAUACCGCAUAAGCGCACGGAACCGCAUGGUUCCGUGUGAAAAACUCCGGUGGUACAGGAUGGUCCCGCGUCUGAUUAGCCAGUUGGCAGGGUAACGGCCUACCAAAGCGACGAUCAGUAGCCGGCCUGAGAGGGUGAACGGCCACAUUGGGACUGAGACACGGCCCAAACUCCUACGGGAGGCAGCAGUGGGGAAUAUUGCACAAUGGGGGAAACCCUGAUGCAGCGACGCCGCGUGAGUGAAGAAGUAUUUCGGUAUGUAAAGCUCUAUCAGCAGGGAAGAAAAUGACGGUACCUGACUAGGAAGCCCCGGCUAACUACGUGCCAGCAGCCGCGGU